ACGAGAGGCCCCAGUUGAUAUAUUCGGCGUAAAGAGUGGUUAUGGGAGCAUAACACUAAAGCCAAAGACCUCCCAAGCAGUCAUACGCAAUCGGAGGCUCGAAACACUAGCACGAAAGUCGCUUUACCCAGCCCACCAGAACCCACGAUAGCCAGGAAACAAACUGGGAUUAGAUACCCCACUAUGCCUCGCCGUAAACUUAGAUGCACAAACACAACAAGCAUCCGCCAGGGGACUACGAGCGUCAGCUUAAAACCCAAAGGACUUGGCGGUGCUUCAAACCCCCCUAGAGGAGCCUGUUCUAGAACCGAUAACCCCCGUUCAACCUCACCACUUCUAGCUUUAUUCCGCCUAUAUACCGCCGUCGCCAGCUUACCCUGUGAAGGCAUUACAGUAAGCAAAACAGGUACACCCUAAAACGUCAGGUCGAGGUGUAGCGCACGAAAUGGAAAGAAAUGGGCUACAUUAUCUGAAACAGAUCAUCAACAAACGGUCUCUUGAAACAAAAGACCCGAAGGUGGAUUUAGCAGUAAAGAGGGAAUAGAGCGCCCCCUUGAAGCCGGCCCUGAAGCGCGCACACACCGCCCGUCACUCUCCCCAACAACCAAUUAAACCAAGUAAUUCAACAAAACAACAACAACAAGGGGAGGCAAGUCGU
Molecule: ribosomal RNA, 658 nt
Filed under: Ilisha filigera (Coromandel ilisha)
Lineage: Eukaryota; Metazoa; Chordata; Actinopteri; Clupeiformes; Pristigasteridae
Description: partial 12S ribosomal RNA
Rfam family: Bacterial small subunit ribosomal RNA
Source: RNAcentral